UACGAAGGGAGCUAGCGUUGUUCGGAAUCACUGGGCGUAAAGCGCACGUAGGCGGAUGUGUCAGUCAGGGGUGAAAUCCCGGAGCUCAACUUCGGAACUGCCUUUGAUACAGCACAUCUGGAGUCCGGAAGAGGUGGGUGGAAUUCCUAGUGUAGAGGUGAAAUUCGUAGAUAUUAGGAAGAACACCGGUGGCGAAAGCGGCCCACUGGUCCGGUACUGACGCUGAGGCGCGAAAGCUAGGGGAGCAAACGGG
This 253-nucleotide ribosomal RNA is filed under the name uncultured bacterium. RNAcentral's name for it is "partial 16S ribosomal RNA". It matches the Rfam family "Bacterial small subunit ribosomal RNA", at positions 524 to 776 of the family's 1533-position model. The record is from RNAcentral.